Molecule: long non-coding RNA, 3568 nt
Organism: Microplitis demolitor
Lineage: Eukaryota; Metazoa; Arthropoda; Insecta; Hymenoptera; Braconidae
Exons: 3
Source: RefSeq, a predicted model, not a curated record
UAUUUAUAUUUUAUAAAUAAUUCUAGUAUUAUUAUAAGAAAAAAUCCAAAUAUAUAUUCGAAUCAGAUAAUUAUUCUAUUUUAAUUAUAAAAAUCAUUCAUAUAUAUCGUAAUCCUGCCCAAAGAUUUUGUUUCAAAUUUCGUUCUUAAGCUAAGAUUGCCAGUCUAUAAUAUUAUAAUUUAUAAAUAGCAAUUGUUAACCUCCAUUUGAUAUUCGAAUGUGCUGUAUUUCAUCGAAUGUUUCAUAAUUAAGUUGAUAAUCGAAUUAUCAAAGAAUAAUUAAAUUAUUCCUUGGAUGCUAUGCCAAAAUUGAAGAAUAUUAUUAAUUUUCAUCAGGCAUUUAUUAUUCCAACAAUAUUAUAGUCAACGAUCAAAUAUAUUGACUAUUUUCAUAAGCAAUAAUCCUCAAAUUAUUGUUCUGGAUGUCAAGGAGUAAAAAUAAUGAGAUUUAUGUAAAUUUAUUUUUAUUACUGAACUUUAUUUAUAGAUAUAAGUUUUUACAUAUAAUAAGGGAAAAAUAAAAGUGUAAGUUCUGUUUGAUCCAGGUGUUAUUAAUUAUUGCUUAUCAUUACAAAUCAAACUCUUUAAUUUCUAAACUAGUACAUAAAAUAAUAAAAACGCUUUAACUUCUCUUAAUUUUGGUGCAAACUUUUGUGAUUUCUGUUGCAUGUCGUUAAUCUGUGUCCAUACAUUAUUUAUGGAUCGGGUAUAUGCAAUAUAAUGUGGUAUACUUAGUGGAUUGUCAGGUGGGACGAACUCUAUGACACCAGACAACAGAAAUGACAUUUCGAAUACCUCCAAACGGUGUGGUAUUUCCUCCAAAUAAUAUCCUGUUCGUUGUUUUAUACCGGAAUUAGCACAGUAUAUAUUCGACUCAUAAAAGUGUUCAAUAUUAAGACAUAAGUAUGAAGUGACGGUAGUUUGUUUUUUGGCAGAUAAAGUUUUACACGCGUCACAUAAAUAAAAAUGUUUUUUUCUAACUUCUUGACAGAUACAUUGUUCCAAAGAUUGAAGUCCAUUUUUCCAAACUAAUGUAGCAUUUAUAUUCAACACUGGUGCUUUUACAGAUUUCAAGUAAUUACAUUUAUUGUUGGUACAGUAUGUUUGUUCAGUGUUACAAUUUGACUCGUUUAUAAUCCACGAGAAAGUUCUUGAAACAUCAUCACGACAGUUAAUAGAACAAUUUUCUUCUGGGUAUUUAUUACUAUUAAAUAAGUAACUCAGUCGUUUUUUAUUAAAAGAUGCAUCCGCGCCAAAUUCAGUAUAAUGUAAUAAACAAGAGAAGAAAGAGUUGGGUUUGAUUUGACAAUCUACAAAAUUUUUUAAAUUACUAAAAUUUAAGUAAUUAAACGAUAAAACCUCCAUCAAACUAUCGAAAGGGCAUGUAUUGUACAAUCUUAAUUUCUUCCCUUUUAUCGGGUAUGCACGGAUGAAUUGUCCAUUGCGAAUAAUUUGUUUUUUCUUUAUUUUCUUGUUUUUAGGUAAUUUAUUAUUUGCUUUAGCAUGAAAUAUUUGCACUUCUGGGAAAGGUGUUACAUAUUUACCUCGUUUAGACUUAGGACUUGACUUGUAAGUUGUGACAGGGUAAUUUUAAUGAACAUAAAUAAAUAAAUAAAUUUGAAUUUGAAUUUCGUUCCCGCCAUAACCGGCCGAUGACCUCGUAAGUUACGAGUAGUGUUGCGACUAGUCACCGGGUGUCGCAUAGAUCACUAAGGCCCGUCCGUUCGUCAUUUCCUUUAGUUUAAGAAAGUGGGAAUAGGUUUCCGGAGAAGUGAACGGGAGUGAAAAGAUAUAAUGGACUGCGGAACAAAAAGAAGUGAAGAGUUGUCCAGACGACGAGAACCAACGGACGCAAACUUAGCAUCAUCAAGGUAAAUAUAUACGUCCGUUCACGCUUCACGUGGAACGAGGCGAUAAUUAAUUUAUAUUUAACUGUUCAAAUAAUUAUUAGGCCUUUAGGCCGAUAAUUAUAAUAAUCGAUAACUUAGCAAAAUAUUAAUGCGUAUUGUUCCUUGACAGAUUACCAAUUGAAAUUCCUGGGUGACGAGAGAAAGAGUGCAGACCAGCGGAGAGAACCUUAGAGGAGGCGACGAGACCACUUGAUACCUUCUCAUCAGGACUGUUGGAGUUUCCUCGAGGUAAAAAUUAUAAUUAAUUAAGGCCUCUAACUUAAAUAAUUGAGGGCCGAAUUAAUUAUAAUUAAUUUACUUAAUAUCUUUCUGCUGGUUUCGCGAUAUUAGAUUGAUAUUUCAAGGCCCGUCGGCUAGUGUAAUCACGCGUCUCGGAGUCCCGAAAUUUACGUAAAAUCUUUGCCGUGUACUCGUCGUUCUGUUGUAACUCGAAAUUUAUUUCAUUCGAGGCCUCUCGGCUGGAAUAAAAUAAAUUUUUCCGUAUAAAUUAUUCAAUAAAUAAAUUCAAUAACUUAAUAAAAGUAUUCAGACCUGUCGGCCGCCCUAGACAAAAUUUUGUCCGCGUGUAAGAUCAUAAAUUAAGGCCUUGCGACACCAAUUGACCGGCCGAAUGUUCUAGUAAAUUUAAGACGUAAUUCUAGUCGUUAAAUUAGUCAUGAAAUAUUUAUAAAAUAAUGUUAAAAUAAUUCUAAUUAAAAUUAUAAAAUCAAAAGUAAGACGCUAGAAAAUUACGAUAAAAUUGUCUCGAGUAAAGUUAAGGAUGGAUUAUUUUGUCAGUGAAUUAAGUUGAGUGUUAAAAUACAUAAUGAAAAUAAUUAUCAGAAAUUUGGAGUAAAUUAAUUAUAUAUAAAUUUUGGAAUUAGAUAUUAAUGGGAAAAUUAUCAGUGGAAAAUUAAUUAAUUAAUAAUUAAAUUAAAACCAAAAUUAAUUAAUAAAUAUAAUUGAAUUAAAUAAGACAGUGAAAAUUAAUAAAUGAAUUAAAUGAAUCAGUGAGAAUUAAGUAGUUGUGAAAUGUUUAUACUGGAAAUUUUAUUAGUGCAAUUUUAUAUAAAAUAUCAAGUUUAAUAAUUGAGUAAAAGAAAGUGAUGUCAUUGAGUACGAAUUAAAUAAAAUAAAAGUAGAGUUCAAAGUCGAGUCAGUAAUUUUUAGUAAAGAAAACUGUGUCUGUGAUUUAGGUCCGGUGGACAUGUUAAGUUAUUUUAAUUAAUUAUACAUCCAGGGGAUGUUUUUUAAUUAAUAUUAAGGUUUACCGUCCAGGGGACGAGGUAUAUUUUACGUGGGUGUGUGGGUGUGGAAACCGUCCAGGGGACGAGAUUUAGUUUGUCAUAAGUUACCGUCCAGGGGACGAGAAAAUAUUAGUUUGUCAUAAGUUACCGUCCAGGGGACGAGAAAAUAUUAGUUUGUCAUAAGGAAAUUUAGUUUGUCAUAAGGAAAAUAUUAGUUUGUCAUAAGUAAUGUCCAGGGGACUCAGUAGUUUGUCAUAAGAAUAUUAGUUUGCCAUAAGUAAUAGUUAUUGUCACAAGGUCAAUGAAAUAAAGCAAGGUGCUUAAAAUAAAAUAAUUUGGAUUAACAUUAUUUCAGCCUAUUCUAUAGUUCCUCUUCUCACUCACAAAAUAUUAUAAACGAUCCUGAAUAAAUAAUUAGUCUCAAUUAAUUAAA